AUACGUAGGUGACAAGCGUUAUCCGGAUUUACUGGGCGUAAAGGGCGUGUAGGCGGUCUUGCAAGUCAGAAGUGAAAUUCCUGAGCUCAACUCGGGCGCUGCUUCUGAAACUGCAGGACUUGAGUGCUGGAGGGGAUAGCGGAAUUCCUAGUGGAGCGGUAAAAUGCGCAGAUAUUAGGAAGAACACCGGUGGCGAAGGCGGCUAUCUGGACAGUAACUGACGCUGAGGCGCGAAAGCGUGGGGAGCAAACAGGAUUAGAUACCCGGGUAGUCCACGCCGUAAACGAUGAAUACUAGGUGUAGGGGGUAUCGACUCCCUCUGUGCCGCAGUUAACACAAUAAGUAUUCCGCCUGGGGAGUACGGCCGCAAGGUUGAAACUCAAAGGAAUUGACGGGG
Molecule: ribosomal RNA, 397 nt
Filed under: uncultured bacterium
Lineage: Bacteria
Description: partial 16S ribosomal RNA
Rfam family: Bacterial small subunit ribosomal RNA
Source: RNAcentral